RNAcentral lists this ribosomal RNA (826 nucleotides) under uncultured microorganism. Its description in RNAcentral is "bacterial SSU rRNA". It matches the Rfam family "Bacterial small subunit ribosomal RNA", at positions 59 to 935 of the family's 1533-position model. The record is from RNAcentral.
CAGUCGAACGAACCUUCGGGUGAGUGGCGCACGGGUGCGUAACGCGUGGGAAUGUACCCCUAGGUGAGGAAUAACGUAGAGAAAUUUGCGCUAAUACCUCAUAAUAACUUCGGUUCAAAGAUUUAUCGCCUAGGGAUCAGCCCGCGUCAGAUUAGAUAGUUGGUGAGGUAACGGCUCACCAAGUCGACGAUCUGUAGGGGGUCUGAGAGGAUGAUCCCCCACACUGGUACUGAGACACGGACCAGACUCCUACGGGAGGCAGCAGUGAGGAAUAUUGGACAAUGGAGGCAACUCUGAUCCAGCCAUGCCGCGUGAGUGAAGACGGCCUUAGGGUUGUAAAGCUCUUUCAAUUGCGAAGAUAAUGACGGUAACAAUAGAAGAAGCUCCGGCUAAAUUCGUGCCAGCAGCCGCGGUAAUACGAAUGGAGCAAGCGUUGUUCGGAAUCACUGGGCUUAAAGCGUAUGUAGGCGGAAUGGAAAGUCAGGAGUGAAAUCCCAGAGCUCAACUCUGGAACUGCUCUUGAAACUUCCAUUCUAGAAUCCUGGAGAGGUUAGGAGAAUUCCGAGUGUAGAGGUGAAAUUCGCAGAUAUUCGGAGGAAUACCAGUGGCGUAGGCGCCUAACUGGACAGGUAUUGACGCUCAGAUACGAAAGCGUGGGGAGCAAACAGGAUUAGAUACCCUGGUAGUCCACGCCGUAAACGAUGUUUGCUAGUUGUCAGGUCCAAAGGAUUUGGUGACGGAGAGAAAUCAUUAAGCAAACCGCCUGGGGAGUACGGCCGCAAGGUUAAAACUCAAAGGAAUUGACGGGGACCCGCACAAGCGGUGG